GAUCAGACAUUGGAGUGUGGGGUGGCCUCUCUAACCAAAUCUUGGGGAGUGUAGUGGGGCCUGUAAUUUGCAAAAACAGUAACUUAAGGUAAUUUUAUGUUAGCAAACGUUAAACGUGUUUUCUACCACCGUCACCACAAUCGGCACCACAUGCUGUGCUAAGCCCUGUCUGCAAACCGCACAGUAUAGGGUUCAGAAUCCUGGGGAAGUGAAGCUUUCGGGGGGUUAUCUGCACCCAGGCCAGGGGCUGACAAUCACAACCGAAAGAAAACCUGGCUCAGAAAGUUCAACAGACUGCUCCAGUCAGUCAGGCACCUUCAAGUGCCCUCAGCAAAAUGGUAUGACCCGGGAGAGGAGUGGAUUGAAGGGUAGACUUAAGUCAGGCCUCAAUUCAGGGCCGCUGGACAGGGGUCAGGCAGGACCUGGAGACCUGGGGAUCACCAGGACAAGGGCAAAGGAAGGUUCGGGGACAGGGCGACGGCCGGAGUCUGAAGGAGGUCGGGUGUGGGGCGAUACACGGCGAUGGAUUUUCGCGAGCUGCUCCGGGGAGGCGCACCCACCGAGGGUGCUGAGUCACGCUGACCAGGAAAGGGCAAGAAAUCGCGGUUCGCCGAGAUACGGGGAUCUCCUGGCACUGGGCCCACUCUCCGGAGAAUUUGCCUCUGGCCUUAGCAACACCUCGUUUCGUCUGGCUUGUCUUGAGUUGCUUCGAGCUGUUCUGCACCCUGCACAUGUGGUCAUGAAGGAGACUCGCUCCUUGCUCCACUGAGGCCUUGGUUCAGGUCCACAUCCCCAACUCAGUCCCAAUAUAAGCCACAUCCAGUCCCCCUCACAGACAAGCAGAGGCCUGUGCCCAGUCAGCAGACCCCUGUGGAAACAUAAGGCCAGCUGUUUGUGUUACUCCCAGGAGCCUGUCCCUGGAGGUUCCUCAGACUCCCACACACAUACGGUUGGAAGCCUGACAGUCAUGUUGUCCACAUACAUGGCUUUUUGGUAAUUGAGGAGCUGUCUCCAGAUCAGGAAGCAGAUCAAGAGAGGGGUCACAGAGCACAGAGGAACGUCCUUCCACAGCACCGUGGCUGC
Non-coding RNA from Kogia breviceps (pygmy sperm whale), 1083 nucleotides. The record is from RefSeq and is a predicted model, not a curated record. Lineage: Eukaryota; Metazoa; Chordata; Mammalia; Artiodactyla; Physeteridae.